RNAcentral lists this ribosomal RNA (447 nucleotides) under uncultured bacterium. Its description in RNAcentral is "bacterial SSU rRNA". It matches the Rfam family "Bacterial small subunit ribosomal RNA", at positions 355 to 825 of the family's 1533-position model. The record is from RNAcentral.
UGGGGAAUCUUGGACAAUGGGCGCAAGCCUGAUCCAGCCAUGCCGCGUGGAUGAUGAAGGCCUUAGGGUUGUAAAAUCCUUUCGUUGGGGACGAUAAUGACGGUACCCAAAGAAGAAGCUCCGGCUAACUUCGUGCCAGCAGCCGCGGUAAUACGAAGGGGACUAGCGUUGUUCGGAAUCACUGGGCGUAAAGCGCACGUAGGCGGAUUUGUAAGUCAGGGGUGAAAUCCCGGGGCUCAACCUCGGAACUGCCUUUGAUACUGCGGAUCUCGAGUCCGAUAGAGGUGAGUGGAAUUCCUAGUGUAGAGGUGAAAUUCGUAGAUAUUAGGAAGAACACCAGUGGCGAAGGCGGCUCACUGGAUCGGUACUGACGCUGAGGUGCGAAAGCGUGGGGAGCAAACAGGAUUAGAUACCCCAGUAGUCCCUGAGCGGGCUGGCAAGGCGCAU